Molecule: small nucleolar RNA, 107 nt
Organism: Humulus lupulus (European hop)
Lineage: Eukaryota; Viridiplantae; Streptophyta; Magnoliopsida; Rosales; Cannabaceae
Source: RefSeq, a predicted model, not a curated record
AUGUCGUGAUGGGGACACUUCCUCAACAAUUCUAUAAACCUUUCCCAAGCGUCAUAUAAUGUUUCCCCAUCUGUCUGGAAGAAGUUAUUGAUCUCUUCUCUCAACCU